UUUAAUCAUGUCCAAGUGAGAGUGAGAAUGGGCAUCCGAAACCCGCUGAUUUUGCUUGAUGAGCUGAUGAGAAGUUGCAGUUUUGGAGCAUUGACACAGGCACAGAAUGCAAGCCACUAGCUUUUUAUGUGCUUCAUUUUCUUGAGGAUCUUGUGCUGUGCUACAAGAUGGUCAACAGGUGGAGAUGUUGCUGAAGGUAUCAGAGUUCAUUUCAUGAGAAGACAUCAGUAUAUUCCAGUUAUUGGUCAGUAACACGAGAUUUGGAGGAUGUCACUGGGUCCUCCUUACAUGUGGAUUUGUUUCCUUGAAAUUCAGAUGUCAAUUCUCCCAUACAAGCUGUACUUGUCAGAACAAGCAACCAGGCUCUGCAUGCCAUGAGUCAAAUUUAUGUUGUCCCUUCAAGGAAGGACACAUCGGUUAAUGAUUUUCCAUGAUGUGUCGUUUAGAAAGCUUUGAUGUCAAACAUCUCUAAAAUAAAAUUUAAUCUUGAAGUGACUCA
This is a long non-coding RNA of Lolium rigidum, 499 nucleotides long. RefSeq lists it as uncharacterized. The record is from RefSeq and is a predicted model, not a curated record. The transcript is spliced from 2 exons. NCBI's taxonomy places the organism in Eukaryota, Viridiplantae, Streptophyta, Magnoliopsida, Poales, Poaceae.